CGCUGUUUCUUGAUAUUAGCUGGAUUUGGUGAUAAUUAGACGCACGAGAGGCAUUUCGCGUUGUAACUAAGAACAAGUCGCCCACCAAAACGAUCAGCAAAAAUUACAACGACGACGCCAGUUUCGAUGCGCAUUUACAUUUCAUCUCUGGGACAUCUUAAUGAAGCGAAGCACAAACGCAUUCGCUGGAAAAGUAAGCAGAGAUUUUACCAAUAGAAAGUCAUCAAGCUCUUUAGGAGCGUCGCUGGUACUAUUUGUAGUCUGGUCACUAGGUACACAUACAGUUGGUUAAACUGGCGACACGUAAGCCAAACGCACUACUGAGCAAUGUGAAAAUGAAUUUCCACACUCAAUCCCGAAGGUCUAUGCAACAGAAGGCAUUUUCUCCAAAAUCCAGUGCAAAACAUCAUGGAAAAUCCUUAACGGUAUAAAAGUAUCACAAGCAAGUUUCCUAUCUUCUUAUACAGCUGUUUAAUGGAAUUUAAACAAGAACAAAUUUUAAAGAUCUGCAUCUCACUCAUUAUGGAUAUACCAGCUUGGUUUCUGAAGCAAUUAAAUGAGAAGAAGUGAAAUAGAGAAGGGGUAUCAAUCAUCAUCUUCAGGGUGCACACACACACACGCGUGCCAAAGCAAAUAGUAAGAAUUUGAUGAGAAAUAAAUACACAUACAUCUUGUAAAGUCAUCUUCAAACAUCUUUUCAUUCUAACUCAUUUCCUGAUGUCCUAACCGUUUAAUGGUACUUGCCACAUAUUAUAAAAUCUGUCCAACU
This is a long non-coding RNA of Schistocerca gregaria, 769 nucleotides long. RefSeq lists it as uncharacterized. NCBI's taxonomy places the organism in Eukaryota, Metazoa, Arthropoda, Insecta, Orthoptera, Acrididae. The transcript is spliced from 3 exons. The record is from RefSeq and is a predicted model, not a curated record.